UACGGAGGGUGCAAGCGUUAUCCGGAUUUAUUGGGUUUAAAGGGUGCGUAGGCGGGACAGUAAGUCAGUGGUGAAAGUCUGCGGCUUAACCGUAGAAUUGCCAUUGAUACUGCUAUUCUUGAAUGUAGUUGAGGUAGGCGGAAUGUGUAAUGUAGCGGUGAAAUGCUUAGAUAUUACACAGAACACCGAUUGCGUAGGCAGCUUACUAAGCUAUUAUUGACGCUGAGGCACGAAAGCGUGGGGAUCGAACAGG
Molecule: ribosomal RNA, 253 nt
Filed under: uncultured bacterium
Lineage: Bacteria
Description: partial 16S ribosomal RNA
Rfam family: Bacterial small subunit ribosomal RNA
Source: RNAcentral